CAAGUAUGAAAGACGAUUGCGAGUCUAUAAGACUCGAGGAAAGUCCGAGCUCCAUAGGGCAGGAUGCCAGAUAACGUCUGGCGAGGGUAACCUUAGGGAAAGUGCCAUAGAAAAGGAAACCGCCACGUAAGUGGUAAGGGUGGAAAGGUGAGGUAAGAGCUCACCAGCAGUCUGGUAACAGGCUGGCUCGGUAAACCCCAUCCGGAGCAAGACCGAAUAGGGAAGGGU
Molecule: RNase P RNA, 228 nt
Filed under: Veillonella sp.
Lineage: Bacteria; Bacillati; Bacillota; Negativicutes; Veillonellales; Veillonellaceae
Description: partial RNase P RNA component class A
Rfam family: Bacterial RNase P class A
About the family: Ribonuclease P (RNase P) is a ubiquitous endoribonuclease, found in archaea, bacteria and eukarya as well as chloroplasts and mitochondria.
Source: RNAcentral